AGAGAGUUUAUCAAGCAGCGACUAACUGCUGCUGCUGGAGAAAUAUUCACCGCGUUUCAACAAACUGUCGUCCAGUUCGAGGAGGAGAUUGAUCGACAGGGGAAACUUCUGGAAAUCAACUGGAAACAUCAAGUCAGGUUCCACAGAACAGAGAGUCCACAGCAACACAUGGGUAACCAGAAGACGAGCUCCAGUCUGGAGCAGGAGGAACAUGAAGCUCCACACAUUAAAGAGGAGGAGGAUGUUGUUGAGGCGACUGUUGCUGAUGGUGAAGGAGACGAUUCCCACCACUCCGUGAGAGACCUGACCAUCCAGAGUCUAACUGCUGCUGCUGAGGAAAUAUUCACCCUGUUUCAACAAACUGUGGUUCAGUACGAGGAGGAGAUCGGUCGCCAACGCAGAAUGCUGGAAAUCGACUGGAAUCCUCAGAUCAGGUUACACAGAACAGAGCUCCAACAGGACCAUGACUGCAGACAGGAGCAGCUCUUUAAACAGGAAACAAAC
Long non-coding RNA from Salarias fasciatus (jewelled blenny), 504 nucleotides. RefSeq lists it as uncharacterized. The record is from RefSeq and is a predicted model, not a curated record. The transcript is spliced from 3 exons. Lineage: Eukaryota; Metazoa; Chordata; Actinopteri; Blenniiformes; Blenniidae.